AGAGUUUGAUCAUGGCUCAGAUUGAACGCUGGCGGCAGGCUUAACACAUGCAAGUCGAACGGAAACAGAAAGUAGCUUGCUACUUUGCUGUCGAGUGGCGGACGGGUGAGUAAUGCUUGGGAAUAUGCCAAAACGUGGGGGACAACAGUUGGAAACGACUGCUAAUACCGCAUAAUGUCUUCGGACCAAAGCAGGGGACCUUCGGGCCUUGCGCGUUUUGAUUAGCCCAAGUGGGAUUAGCUAGUUGGUAAGGUAAUGGCUUACCAAGGCGACGAUCCCUAGCUGGUCUGAGAGGAUGACCAGCCACACUGGNACUGAGACACGGUCCAGACUCCUACGGGAGGCAGCAGUGGGGAAUAUUGCACAAUGGAGGGAANUCUGAUGCAGCCAUNCCGCGUGUGUGAAGAAGGCUUUCGGGUUGUAAAGCACUUUCAGNGGGGAGGAAAGGGUUGUAGUUAAUAGCUGCAAUCUGUGACGUUACCCACAGAAGAAGCACCGGCUAACUUCGUGCCAGCAGCCGCGGUAAUACGAGGGGUGCAAGCGUUAAUCGGAAUUACUGGGCGUAAAGCGUGGGUUUCCAAGNUAACGCAUUAANUUGACCGCCUGGGGANUACGGCCGCAAGGUUAAAACUCAAAUGAAUUGACGGGGGCCCGCACAAGCCGUGGAGCAUGUGGUUUAAUUCGAUGCAACGCGAAGAACCUUACCUCCCCUUGACAUCCAGAGAGNUCCCUAGAGAUAGAUGAGUGCCUUCGGGAACUCUGAGACAGGUGCUGCAUGGCUGUCGUCAGCUCGUGUUGUGAAAUGUUGGGUUAAGUCCCGCAACGAGCGCAACCCNUAUCCUUAUUUGCCAGCGAGUUAUGUCGGGAACUAUAGGGAGACUGCCGGUGAUAAACCGGAGGAAGGUGGGGACGACGACANGUCAUCAUGNCCCUUACGGGAUGGGCUACACACGUGCUACAAUGGCAGAUACAAAGGGUUGCUAACCUGCGAGGGUAUGCGAAUCUCAUAAAGUCUGUCGUAGUCCGGAUCGGAGUCUGCAACUCGACUCCGUGAAGUNGGAAUCGCUAGUAAUCGUGGAUCAGAAUGCCACGGUGAAUACGUUCCCGGGCNUUGUACACACCGCCCGUCACACCAUGGGAGUGGGCUGCACCAGAAGUCAUUAGCUUAACCUUCGGGGAUGGCGAUGACCACGGUGUGGUUCAUGACUGGGGUGAAGUCGUAACAAGGUAGCC
RNAcentral lists this ribosomal RNA (1233 nucleotides) under marine psychrophile IC052. Its description in RNAcentral is "partial 16S ribosomal RNA". It matches the Rfam family "Bacterial small subunit ribosomal RNA". Lineage: Bacteria; Pseudomonadati; Pseudomonadota; Gammaproteobacteria. The record is from RNAcentral.